This 74-nucleotide transfer RNA is filed under the name Mycobacteriales bacterium. RNAcentral's name for it is "tRNA-Gly". It matches the Rfam family "tRNA". Rfam says of the family: Transfer RNA (tRNA) molecules are approximately 80 nucleotides in length. Their secondary structure includes four short double-helical elements and three loops (D, anti-codon, and T loops). Further hydrogen bonds mediate the characteristic L-shaped molecular structure. tRNAs have two regions of fundamental functional importance: the anti-codon, which is responsible for specific mRNA codon recognition, and the 3' end, to which the tRNAs corresponding amino acid is attached (by aminoacyl-tRNA synthetases). tRNAs cope with the degeneracy of the genetic code in two manners: having more than one tRNA (with a specific anti-codon) for a particular amino acid; and 'wobble' base-pairing, i.e. permitting non-standard base-pairing at the 3rd anti-codon position. Lineage: Bacteria; Bacillati; Actinomycetota; Actinomycetes; Mycobacteriales. The record is from RNAcentral. RNAcentral also lists the same sequence under 6 other names.
GCGGGUGUAGUUCAAUGGCAGAACAUCAGCUUCCCAAGCUGAUAGUGCGAGUUCGAUUCUCGUCACCCGCUCCA